AGAGUUUGAUCCUGGCUCAGAUUGAACGCUGGCGGCAUGCCUUACACAUGCAAGUCGAACGGCAGCGCGGGGGCAACCCUGGCGGCGAGUGGCGAACGGGUGAGUAAUAUAUCGGAACGUACCCUGGAGUGGGGGAUAACGUAGCGAAAGUUACGCUAAUACCGCAUACGAUCUAAGGACGAAAGUGGGGGAUCGCAAGACCUCAUGCUCCUGGAGAGGCCGAUAUCUGAUUAGCUAGUUGGUAGGGUAAAAGCCUACCAAGGCAUCGAUCAGUAGCUGGUCUGAGAGGACGACCAGCCACACUGGAACUGAGACACGGUCCAGACUCCUACGGGAGGCAGCAGUGGGGAAUUUUGGACAAUGGGCGCAAGCCUGAUCCAGCAAUGCCGCGUGAGUGAAGAAGGCCUUCGGGUUGUAAAGCUCUUUUGUCAGGGAAGAAACGGUGGAGGCUAAUAUCCUCUGCUAAUGACGGUACCUGAAGAAUAAGCACCGGCUAACUACGUGCCAGCAGCCGCGGUAUACGUAGGUGCAAGCGAUAAUCGGAUUACUGGGCGUAAAGCGUGCGCAGCGGUAUGUAAGUUUGUCGUGAAUCCCCGGGCUCACCUGGAUGGCGAUGAGACUGCAAGGCUAGAUCUGGCAGAGGGGGGUAGAAUUCCACGUGUAGCAGUGAAUGCGUAGAGAUGUGGAGGAACACCGAUGGCGAAGGCAGCCCCAUGGGUCAAGAUUGACGCUCAUGCACGAAAGCGUGGGGAGCAAACAGGAUUAGAUACCCUGGUAGUCCACGCCCUAAACGAUGUCUACUAGUUGUCGGGUUUUAAUUAACUUGGUAACGCAGCUAACGCGUGAAGUAGACCGCCUGGGGAGUACGGUCGCAAGAUUAAAACUCAAAGGAAUUGACGGGGACCCGCACAAGCGGUGGAUGAUGUGGAUUAAUUUGAUGCAACGCGAAAAACCUUACCUACCCUUGACAUGGCAGGAAUCCUUGAGAGAUCAGGGAGUGCUCGAAAGAGAACCUGCACACAGGUGCUGCAUGGCUGUCGUCAGCUCGUGUCGUGAGAUGUUGGGUUAAGUCCCGCAACGAGCGCAACCCUUGUCAUUAGUUGCUACGAAAGAGCACUCUAAUGAGACUGCCGGUGACAAACCGGAGGAAGGUGGGGAUGACGUCAAGUCCUCAUGGCCCUUAUGGGUAGGGCUUCACACGUCAUACAAUGGUACAUACAGAGGGCCGCCAACCCGCGAGGGGGAGCUAAUCCCAGAAAGUGUAUCGUAGUCCGGAUUGUAGUCUGCAACUCGACUACAUGAAGUUGGAAUCGCUAGUAAUCGCGGAUCAGCAUGUCGCGGUGAAUACGUUCCCGGGUCUUGUACACACCGCCCGUCACACCAUGGGAGCGGGUUUUACCAGAAGUAGGUAGCUUAACCGCAAGGAGGGCGCUUCCCACGGUAGGAUUCGUGACUGGGGUGAAGUCGUAACAAGGUAACC
Molecule: ribosomal RNA, 1480 nt
Filed under: uncultured bacterium
Lineage: Bacteria
Description: bacterial SSU rRNA
Rfam family: Bacterial small subunit ribosomal RNA
Source: RNAcentral